RNAcentral lists this small nuclear RNA (102 nucleotides) under Stegodyphus mimosarum. The record is from RNAcentral. Lineage: Eukaryota; Metazoa; Arthropoda; Arachnida; Araneae; Eresidae.
UUUCCCAUCGGCAAUGUAGUAAAACUGGAACGAUACCAGAAAAUAUUAGCAUUGUCAAUGACAAAGGAUGACAUAUUUCCCCAAGGUGAGAAACAUAGGUAA